CAGUCGGACACAGCUGCAGAAGGAGCGCAGCUCAGUCUGAUCUCAUCAUCAGCAGUUACAGCCUGGUUCGUCCCAGCAGUCGCUGCUGGAUCAUUGUUCCUGCUGGUUCCUCACCAGCCACUCUGCCCAUAUCUGCCCAGUCCUGCUCUGUCCUGCCCAGUUCUGCCCAGUCUACCCUGGAACUCUCCCGAGAGAGGCCAGAAUAAUCCCGGAGGUUCCCCCCUCUGUCCUCGCCUCGGCUCCAAGCCGCUGAUCUCCGCUGCACUCCUGCAGCCCUGGCGCCGCCUCCACAGACUGCAGGCUGCAGAACCGGUCUGCCGCCCCCCCGUUUGGACUUAUUUAAUCAAAUAUUGAGCUGCAGGAUUUUCUGGAAGCGUCUCAAACCUUCACUGCAGCUCCAGAAUCUUCCGUUAACGUGACCGAUGUUACAGCACAACGAGGACAGACUGGAGGAGGAUAUAAACCGACAUGAGGAGACGUAUUGAUGCAAGCACCUGAGAAAAGAGUCAUUAGCUUCCCUCUGAGCUCCCACUGAUUCGGACUUAAGAGGAAGAGUCGAUUCAAACAUGAGGAUCAGGA
This is a long non-coding RNA of Amphiprion ocellaris (clown anemonefish), 579 nucleotides long. NCBI's taxonomy places the organism in Eukaryota, Metazoa, Chordata, Actinopteri, Pomacentridae. The record is from Ensembl.